Molecule: ribosomal RNA, 473 nt
Filed under: uncultured organism
Description: partial 16S ribosomal RNA
Rfam family: Bacterial small subunit ribosomal RNA
Source: RNAcentral
CACUCCUGCGGGAGGCAGCAGUGGGGAAUUUUGGACAAUGGGCGAAAGCCUGAUCCAGCCAUGCCGCGUGCAGGAUGAAGGCCUUCGGGUUGUAAACUGCUUUUGUACGGAACGAAACGGCCUUUUCUAAUAAAGAGGGCUAAUGACGGUACCGUAAGAAUAAGCACCGGCUAACUACGUGCCAGCAGCCGCGGUAAUACGUAGGGUGCAAGCGUUAAUCGGAAUUACUGGGCGUAAAGCGUGCGCAGGCGGUUAUGUAAGACAGUUGUGAAAUCCCCGGGCUCAACCUGGGAACUGCAUCUGUGACUGCAGAGCUAGAGUACGGAAGAGGGGGAUGGAAUUCCGCGUGUAGCAGUGAAAUGCGUAGAUAUGCGGAGGAACACCGAUGGCGAAGGCAAUCCCCUGGACCUGUACUGACGCUCAUGCACGAAAGCGUGGGGAGCAAACAGGAUUAGAAACCCCAGUAGUCCCAU